CAUCCUCAGCCUUACUCCAGGGGCUUUUGCUUGUAAAGUGCCUUGGCAUUGCCUGAGGAGAUAUGAGAAAAGCACAUCUCCCUCCCCAGCAAGACUCUGCUUUCUUGUGGGGCCUACAGACUGUGCUGACAGG
RNAcentral lists this small nucleolar RNA (133 nucleotides) under Chinchilla lanigera (long-tailed chinchilla). RNAcentral describes it as "Small nucleolar RNA SNORA49 (ENSCLAG00000020009.1)". It matches the Rfam family "Small nucleolar RNA SNORA49". Rfam says of the family: The snoRNA ACA49 has no identified RNA target. The record is from Rfam by way of RNAcentral. Lineage: Eukaryota; Metazoa; Chordata; Mammalia; Rodentia; Chinchillidae.